Molecule: long non-coding RNA, 963 nt
Filed under: Chrysemys picta bellii (western painted turtle)
Lineage: Eukaryota; Metazoa; Chordata; Testudines; Emydidae
Description: lncRNA (ENSCPBG00000012406.1)
Source: RNAcentral
CACCUGGGGGACAGGGUGGGGGGCCCCGCAGGGAGGCUCCAGGUGAGAAUCGGUGCCUCUGCCGGGUUCACAAGGAGCCGAGAGGCCGUUGUGACCCCGAUGUCCCUGCCGGGGGUGGGGCGCUGGCGGAGUCUGAGCCCAGCUGACGGGGAGGUUGUGAGCUGGGUUUGUCAGGUGCCCCCGGGGCCCAUCCCAGCAGCCGCUGCGCGGCGCCGGGGGAGCUCAGGGAUGUUCUUGGGUUUCUCCAGGACGUCGGGAGACGGGAGGCAGAAGCGGCGAGACCCCAGGCUGCCCUGGAUCGGGAGACGAUGAUGCUGGAGCUGGUCGGGGCGCUGGCCCGGAGCAGGGAGCUGAGGGGUCAGGCCCAGGCCCUGGCGGCCUCCCUGGAGCAACGCAGUGCGGCCAGCCGGGCGCAGCAGGCCCAGUGCGUCGGGAUCACCAGAGACUUCUUCCAGGCUCACAGCGCCCUGGUGCUGGCCUACAGGAAUGCCAGGAGGAAGCAGGAGGCUCAGCUGCGGAGGCUGGAGGCCCAGAUGGGCGCGAUGGGCGAGCGGCACGGGGAGCAGCUGCGCUCGCUCACGCAGGCCGUGCAAAGGCUGGAAGAGCGGCGCGUGGCCGCGGCCGGCAGCGAGACCUGCAUCUAGGGCAGAGCCACGGCGGGCAGUGGGGGUGGCCGAGUCCCUCCCAUGGGCGUGCAGGGGGAGACCAGCUGGCAGGGCCCAGGGUCGCCUCUCCAAUCCAUGGGGAGCUGGGAGCAGGGGGUCUUCUGUUGGUUGAGUUUAUUGCUCAUAAAUCACAACCCGCGGCCCCCGGCUAGCCCAGCUCUGGGCUCCCCACACACAGCUGUGCCGAUGCCCCCCGGCCUGUCCUGGUUUCCCACAUACAGAGAGCUGCUGCUGCCACUGGGCCAAGCGUUGGGGGGAGGUUAGCGCUUGGGAGGUUUAUUCUCGGUGCAGAUCGGGA